RNAcentral lists this ribosomal RNA (488 nucleotides) under uncultured bacterium. Its description in RNAcentral is "bacterial SSU rRNA". It matches the Rfam family "Bacterial small subunit ribosomal RNA", at positions 24 to 518 of the family's 1533-position model. The record is from RNAcentral.
UCAGGAUAAACGCUGGCGGCGCACAUAAGACAUGCAAGUCGAACGGACUUAACUCAUCUUUAGAUUGAGAGCGGUUAGUGGCGGACUGGUGGGUAACGCGUAAGGAACCUGCCUAAUAGAGGGGGAAUAACAGUGAGAAAUCAUUGCGAAUACCGCAUAUGCUCACAGUACCACAUGGUACAGUGAGGAAAGGAGCAAUCCGCUAUUAGAUGGCCUUGCGUCUGAUUAGCUAGUUGGUGGGGUAAUGGCCUACCAAGGCGACGAUCAGUAGCCGGACUGAGAGGUUGAACGGCCACAUUGGGACUGAGAUACGGCCCAGACUCCUACGGGAGGCAGCAGUCGGGAAUAUUGCGCAAUGGAGGAAACUCUGACGCCAGUGACGCCGCGUAUAGGAUGUAAGGUUUUCGGAUUGUAAACUAUUGUCAUUAGGGAAGAUAAAAGACUGUACCUAAAGAGGAAGCACCGGCUAACUAUGUGCCAGCAGCCGC